CUCAUCUGCUUCUGGCCCGAAAAGAGACCUGGAAAUCUUGACUUAGCCUACAGUGCAGUCUGAAAGUUGUCUAAGCCAAGCCUGCCUAAUCUCUAAGGUCUGCAUCCAUUUCUUGGAAUGACUUAGAAGCGGUGACAUUCCAAUAGCAUCAAGCACUCCCAAUGCCCUGGUCUUGCUUUCAAAUACCAUUCUCCAAUAAAAGGCAUCAGUGCUCCUUGAAGAACUGGCUGGUUCCAGGGCUGGGCAGAGGAAUAUACAAGAUGAAUCUGGACUACCUUGUGGUGUCAUAAAGUAAGAAAAUGCUAAAACAGAGAAAAACCAAAUUAUGGGGAUGUGUUAAAGGGGCACAGAAAUGAAAUGAAAGCUCCCAAAGAUCAAAUCUGGGACAAUUUGAGUGAGAAAAUUCAUAAAGUAGUACUGGAUUAUAACCCAAAGUAUAAAAUAUCCAUAAAUCUACAAUGAUUUAAAUAAAUGAAUAAUAAGUAGAAGGAGAUGUGAUGGUUAAUUUUAUGUGUGAACUUGACUGGGCUAAAUGUUGUCCAAAUAGCUGGUAAAACAUUAUUUCUGGGUAUUUCCAUGAGGGUGCUUCUGGGAGAAAUUAGUGUUUGAACUGGUAGGCUGAGUAAGGAAAAUCCACUCUCACCAGUGGGGGUGGGCAUCAUCCAACCCACUGAGGGCCCAAAUGGAAGAAAAGGGCAAUAGGGUGAAUUAUUUCUCUUUUCUUGAGCUGGGACAUCCAUUCUUUCCUGCCCUCAGACGCCAGAGACCCUGGUUCUCAGGCCUUCAGACUUGGAGUGAAUUAUACCACCAGCUUCCCUGGGUCUCCAGCUUGCAGACUGCAGACUGUGGGACUUCUCAGCCUUCGUAAUCAUGUAAGACAAUUCCUCUCAAUACAUCUCCUCCUGUA
Molecule: non-coding RNA, 907 nt
Organism: Microcebus murinus (gray mouse lemur)
Lineage: Eukaryota; Metazoa; Chordata; Mammalia; Primates; Cheirogaleidae
Source: RefSeq, a predicted model, not a curated record